GGUUCGUUGGUCUAGCGGUAUGAUUCUCGCUUAGGGUAAUAACCUGAGUAACGCUCAAGGACAUCAGUCCGGACAGCAAAACAUGCGAGAGGUCCCGGGUUCAAUCCCCGGACGAACCC
Non-coding RNA from Podospora aff. communis PSN243, 119 nucleotides. NCBI's taxonomy places the organism in Eukaryota, Fungi, Ascomycota, Sordariomycetes, Sordariales, Podosporaceae. The record is from the annotation of a GenBank genome assembly.